CCUACGGGAGGCAGCAGUGGGGAAUAUUGCACAAUGGGCGCAAGCCUGAUGCAGCGACGCCGCGUGAGGGAUGACGGCCUUCGGGUUGUAAACCUCUUUCAGUAGGGAAGAGGCGAAAGUGACGGUACCUGCAGAAGAAGCGCCGGCUAACUACGUGCCAGCAGCCGCGGUAAUACGUAGGGCGCAAGCGUUAUCCGGAAUUAUUGGGCGUAAAGAGCUCGUAGGCGGUUUGUCGCGUCUGCCGUGAAAGUCCGGGGCUCAACUCCGGAUCUGCGGUGGGUACGGGCAGACUAGAGUGAUGUAGGGGAGACUGGAAUUCCUGGUGUAGCGGUGAAAUGCGCAGAUAUCAGGAGGAACACCGAUGGCGAAGGCAGGUCUCUGGGCAUUAACUGACGCUGAGGAGCGAAAGCAUGGGGAGCGAACAGGAUUAGAUACCCUGGUAGUCCAUGCCGUAAACGUUGGGCACUAGGUGUGGGGGACAUUCCACGUUUUCCGCGCCGUAGCUAACGCAUUAAGUGCCCCGCCUGGGGAGGUACGGCCGCGAGACGAAACACAAGAAGUAGAGCGNGAGAGUGCGAGACGACGACGAGGAGAGG
RNAcentral lists this ribosomal RNA (596 nucleotides) under uncultured bacterium. RNAcentral describes it as "bacterial SSU rRNA". The stretch from base 1 to 525 matches the Rfam family "Bacterial small subunit ribosomal RNA", at positions 338 to 873 of the family's 1533-position model. The record is from RNAcentral.